Molecule: long non-coding RNA, 470 nt
Filed under: Bos taurus (domestic cattle)
Lineage: Eukaryota; Metazoa; Chordata; Mammalia; Artiodactyla; Bovidae
Description: long non-coding RNA NONBTAT021519
Source: RNAcentral
ACAAGUGCCAUAGUUUGUAAAGUGCCAUACUAGGUGUUAGGAAAACAAAUGAUAAGUAACUCUUAAAUAUGGGGAGUACAUUACUCAAAUAUACAACACUUAAAGUACUAGAAACAAGGAAGCAAAAUAAACACUACCAGAUAGGGUAUCCACAUCUAACUCUAUCCACAGCCUGAAAGCAAGCACUACCCUGGGUUAUCACUAUUAUUUAUUCUUUUUAAUCCUUACCAUCAAUACAGAUGAUCACAAGUUGGACUGUAUUAAAGCAGGGCUCUAUUCCCUCACCCUAAGUACUCGAAGGCACACAGUCUUUGCUCUACACUGCCAACUGACCAACAGUAAAUGUGUGAGGAAGAGAACUCAUCCCUUACGAUAAAUUGCAAGCUCCAUGUGCAGAAGAGUCUGUUUUUCAAUGAUGUAUUCCAGUACCCUCCCUAGAACACAGCAAGCUAUUCAAAAAGAACUGAGUG